CCUACGGGUGGCAGCAGUGAGGAAUAUUGGUCAAUGAGCGGGAGCCUGAACCAGCCAAGCCGCGUGCGGGAAGAAGGUACAGCGUAUCGUAAACCUCUUUUGUCAGGGAACAAAGGCGGGGACUAGUCCCCUGAUGAGGGUACCUGAAGAAAAAGCAUCGGCUAACUCCGUGCCAGCAGCCGCGGUAAUACGGAGGAUGCGAGCGUUAUCCGGAUUUGUUGGGUUUAAAGGGUGCGCAGGCGGCCUGUUAAGUCAGCGGUAAAAGCCCGGGGCUCAACCCCGGCGAGCCGUUGAAACUGGCGGGCUGGAGUUGGAGAGAAGUACGCGGAAUGCGCGGUGUAGCGGUGAAAUGCUUAGAUAUCGCGCAGAACCCCGAUUGCGAAGGCAGCGUACCGGCUCCACACUGACGCUGAGGCACGAAAGCGUGGGUAUCGAACAGGAUUAGAUACCCUGGUAGUC
RNAcentral lists this ribosomal RNA (459 nucleotides) under uncultured bacterium. RNAcentral describes it as "partial 16S ribosomal RNA". It matches the Rfam family "Bacterial small subunit ribosomal RNA", at positions 338 to 795 of the family's 1533-position model. The record is from RNAcentral.